ACACGUGGGUAACCUGCCUUAUAGUGGGGGAUAGCCUUUCGAAAGGAAGAUUAAUACCGCAUAAGAUUGUAGUAUCGCAUGAUAUAGCAAUUAAAGGAGCAAUUCGCUAUAAGAUAGACCCGCGUCGCAUUAGCUAGUUGGUGAGGUAAUGGCUCACCAAGGCGACGAUGCGUAGCCGACCUGAGAGGGUGAUCGGCCACAUUGGGACUAAGACACGGCCCAGACUCCUACGGGAGGCAGCAUG
This 244-nucleotide ribosomal RNA is filed under the name uncultured bacterium. Its description in RNAcentral is "partial 16S ribosomal RNA". It matches the Rfam family "Bacterial small subunit ribosomal RNA", at positions 113 to 353 of the family's 1533-position model. The record is from RNAcentral.